ACGGGAGGCAGCAGUGGGGAGUAUUGGGCAAUGGGCGAAAGCCUGACCCAGCGACGCCGCGUGAGGGAAGACGGUCUUCGGAUUGUAAACCUUAGUCAACAGGGACGAAGAAAGUGACGGUACCUGUGGAGGAAGCCGCGGCUAACUACGUGCCAGCAGCCGCGGUAAUACGUAGGGGGCAAGCGUUAUCCGGAUUUACUGGGUGUAAAGGGAGCGUAGACGGCAUGGCAAGUCUGAUGUGAAAACCCGGGGCUCAACCCCGGGACUGCAUUGGAAACUGUCAGGCUAGAGUGCAGGAGAGGUAAGUGGAAUUCCUAGUGUAGCGGUGAAAUGCGUAGAUAUUAGGAGGAACACCAGUGGCGAAGGCGGCUUACUGGACUGUAACUGACGUUGAGGCUCGAAAGCGUGGGGAGCAAACAGGAUUAGAUACCCUGGUA
This 437-nucleotide ribosomal RNA is filed under the name uncultured Lachnospiraceae bacterium. RNAcentral describes it as "partial 16S ribosomal RNA". It matches the Rfam family "Bacterial small subunit ribosomal RNA", at positions 341 to 792 of the family's 1533-position model. Lineage: Bacteria; Bacillati; Bacillota; Clostridia; Lachnospirales; Lachnospiraceae. The record is from RNAcentral.